Molecule: ribosomal RNA, 490 nt
Filed under: uncultured bacterium
Lineage: Bacteria
Description: partial 16S ribosomal RNA
Rfam family: Bacterial small subunit ribosomal RNA
Source: RNAcentral
AUUGAACGCUGGCGGCAUGCUUUACACAUGCAAGUCGGACGGCAGCACAGAGAAGCUUGCUUCUUGGGUGGCGAGUGGCGAACGGGUGAGUAACAUAUCGGAACGUACCGAGCAGUGGGGGAUAACUAAUCGAAAGAUUAGCUAAUACCGCAUAUCUUCUGAGGAAGAAAGCAGGGGACCAUUUGGCCUUGCGCUGUUUGAGCGGCCGAUAUCUGAUUAGCUAGUUGGUGGGGUAAAGGCCUACCAAGGCGACGAUCAGUAGCGGGUCUGAGAGGAUGAUCCGCCACACUGGGACUGAGCCACGGCCCAGACUCCUACGGGAGGCAGCAGUGGGGAAUUUUGGACAAUGGGCGCAAGCCUGAUCCAGCCAUGCCGCGUGUCUGAAGAAGGCCUUCGGGUUGUAAAGGACUUUUGUCAGGGAAGAAAAGGGCGGGGUUAAUACCCCUGUCUGAUGACGGUACCUGAAGAAUAAGCACCGGCUAACUACGUG